GGAAACCGGAGCUAAUACCGGAUAAUAUUUUGAACCGCAUGGUUCAAAAGUGAAAGACGGUCUUGCUGUCACUUAUAGAUGGAUCCGCGCUGCAUUAGCUAGUUGGUAAGGUAACGGCUUACCAAGGCAACGAUGCAUAGCCGACCUGAGAGGGUGAUCGGCCACACUGGAACUGAGACACGGUCCAGACUCCUACGGGAGGCAGCAGUAGGGAAUCUUCCGCAAUGGGCGAAAGCCUGACGGAGCAACGCCGCGUGAGUGAUGAAGGUCUUCGGAUCGUAAAACUCUGUUAUUAGGGAAGAACAUAUGUGUAAGUAACUGUGCACAUCUUGA
Molecule: ribosomal RNA, 333 nt
Filed under: Staphylococcus aureus
Lineage: Bacteria; Bacillati; Bacillota; Bacilli; Caryophanales; Staphylococcaceae
Description: bacterial SSU rRNA
Rfam family: Bacterial small subunit ribosomal RNA
Source: RNAcentral